GGGGCUGUAGCUCAGUGGUACAGCACUUGCUUAACACGCAUGAGGCAAUGGGUUCAAUCCUUAGCAUCA
RNAcentral lists this transfer RNA (69 nucleotides) under Marmota marmota marmota (Alpine marmot). It matches the Rfam family "tRNA". Rfam says of the family: Transfer RNA (tRNA) molecules are approximately 80 nucleotides in length. RNAcentral also lists the same sequence under 1 other name. The record is from Rfam by way of RNAcentral. Lineage: Eukaryota; Metazoa; Chordata; Mammalia; Rodentia; Sciuridae.